Molecule: ribosomal RNA, 290 nt
Filed under: uncultured bacterium
Lineage: Bacteria
Description: partial 16S ribosomal RNA
Rfam family: Bacterial small subunit ribosomal RNA
Source: RNAcentral
CCAGACCUACGGGGGGCAGCAGUAGGGAAUUUUCGUCAAUGGGCGCAAGCCUGAACGAGCGAUGCCGCGUGAACGAGGAAGGUCUUCGGAUCGUAAAGUUCUGUUGAAGGGGAAAAAGAGCGGAGAGAGGAAAUGAACUCCGAUUGAUAUUACCCUUCGAGGAAGUCACGGCUAACUACGUGCCAGCAGCCGCGGUAAUACGCAGGUGGCGAGCGGUAUCCGGAAUGAUUGGGCGUAAAGGGUGCGUAGGCGGCCUGCUAAGUCUGGAGUGAAAGGUACCGGCUCAACCG